This 1404-nucleotide long non-coding RNA is filed under the name Dermacentor andersoni. RNAcentral's name for it is "uncharacterized LOC126544164". Lineage: Eukaryota; Metazoa; Arthropoda; Arachnida; Ixodida; Ixodidae. The record is from RNAcentral.
GGCUUUGAUGCAAGUUUAUUUGCUGUCAUGCGAGAAAAACUGCAAGGAGUUCCUGGUAGAGAACGCCGACGUUAGACACCAUUCAGAAUUAACUUACAAUUGUUCUGUUUUUGAAUAAGCAGUGUAACUAAACAAAACAUUUUUACAGGUGUGCUCAUGUUUGAAGAGAUGAGUGUGCGGAAAAGUGUCCACGUCAGAGAAUCUGACAUGUCCCUUUUGGGGAAGGUCGAUUUUUCUGAGCACAUGAGGCCAACAGACCGCGAAAAGGAUGGCGACCACGUGCUCGUGUUUUUGUUCCGGCGCUUUCUUGGUGGCUGGUCCCAGACAUUGGGCAGUUUCUGUGCAUCUGGUGCUACACCAGGCUCAAUAGUAGCAAAACUGCUGCUUCAGUGCAUUGUGCACCUCACAAAUGCUUAUGUUUUGGUGGACGCCAUCGCGUGUGACAAUUCUACAUCCAAUUAGUCAGCUCUGAGGUUCCUGGGUAUCAGCGGCGACAUAAACAACACCAAGAACAUGUUUCAACACCCGUGUGAUCCAUCAAAAUUUAUUUACGUGGUGAUAGACCCUCCACAUGUAUUUAAGUGCAUUCGGAACAAUCUGCAGAAGGUUGGGAAGUUUCUGCUACCCCAAGGCCAAGAGGUUUUUCAUUGCCACUAUUCUGCCCUACUAGAGUAUGAAGAAGAGCAGGCUGAGCUUCGCAGAGUGCCCAAGAUAACUAAAGAGCACAUUGCCCCUAAUGCAUUUCAAAAAAUGAGUGUGCGGCUUGCUGUACAGUUGUUUAGUAAAAGCACUGCUGCAGCCGUGGAGUUCUACAGCAAACAAGAGGCAUGCGAGAAGCUACAUUACUCAACAGCAACAUCAGGCUUCACAAGACCCAUGAACAAGCUGUUUGACAGCCUUAAUUCUCGCAGGCUAGAGCAUGUAAAAUACAGUACAAUGAAGCUGAACACAUUGCUGUAAGUAAUUGAUAUUAUUACUGUAUUAAUAAGUGUUUGUGCUUAUGCUGAAAAUAUUAUUGAAUUUCAGACAUUGAAGGAGAAUAUAGCUUGGCUGGACGAUCGGCAGAAGUACAUCGAGUAGUUGCCUGUGCAGAGGCGAGCAUGUUUUCUGACCAAGACGACAUGUGCAGCACUUAGAAUAAUGCUGCGCAGUACAGUAGCACUAGUCGAGAGCUUCCUGAGCUCUGGUUUCCGCUAUGUGCUCGUAGUAAACUUCGGACAAGAUCCCUUGGAGCGCUUCUUUGGGAUAGUGAGGCAGGUUGCUGGCGAUGGAGGGCAGCCUACCGUCCAGCACUUCUUAUUCAUCUACCGUAUGCUAUCUGUAAACAACUUGGUGUGAUCACCCCAACGUGCUUCUGUUGAUGGUGAUGGGCCACAACUUCUCAAGCUUCAGGGCCUCUUCGAA